UUUAUAUUAAACAAAAUUGUCAUCCGACUCAUUUGUAUAUUUAUUUGUAAUCUUUAUACAGUUAAAUUAACAAGAUUUUAUACAAAUCCACCAACAAAGGACACAUUUAAAUCUGUGAGGGAUAGACUUACAAUAAUCUAAAAAACUUUUUUGGUGCUUAAAGUGGCUACCAUUAAAAGCUUGAGUGCAUGUGUAAGAACAACAUUUGACUAGAACUCUGCAAGACCAGAGUUUUCAAAUUUUUUUUUCGCCGUGAAACAACGACCAUUUAAUAAGCUUUAAAUUUUAAAAGUACUUCUCGGGGGUCGAACGGUUGGGUUUUUGUCACUCGACGGCAACACGUAUACGUCGCAGCGGUCGAGCGGCAAUGGCGUAUACUUUGGUAGUUAUUAUUACAUUAACAAUAUACGGG
Daktulosphaira vitifoliae (grape phylloxera) is the source of this 412-nucleotide long non-coding RNA. RefSeq lists it as uncharacterized. The transcript is spliced from 3 exons. Lineage: Eukaryota; Metazoa; Arthropoda; Insecta; Hemiptera; Phylloxeridae. The record is from RefSeq and is a predicted model, not a curated record.